CUAGUCGCACGAGUUCAGACUCGUGGCAGAUAGCUCAGUAACACGUGGCCAAACUACCCUAUGGAUCCGGCCAACCUCGGGAAACUGAGGCUAAUCCGGAAUACCGCUUUCAGCCUGGAUGGCGAGAGCGUGAAACGCUCCGGCGCUAUAGGAUGUGGCUGCGGCCGAUUAGGUAGACGGUGGGGUAACGGCCCACCGUGCCAGUAAUCGGUACGGGUUGUGAGAGCAAGAGCCCGGAACGGUAUCUGAGACAAGAUACCGGGCCCUACGGGGCGCAGCAGGCGCGAAACCUUUACACUGCACGCGAGUGCGAUAAGGGGACUCCAGGUGCGAGGGCAUAUAGUCCUCGCUUUUCUCGACCGUAGGGAGGUCGAGGAACAAGUGCUGGGCAAGACCGGUGCCAGCCGCCGCGGUAAUACCGGCAGCACAAGUGAUGACCGCUGUUAUUGGGCCUAAAGCGUCCGGCCAGACAAGUUCAUCGGGAAAUCUGUGCGCCUAACGCACAGGCGUCCGGUGGAAACUGCCUGGCUUGGGACCGGAAGACCAGAGGGGUACGUCUGGGGUAGGAGUGAAAUCCCGUAAUCCUGGACGGACCACCGGUGGCGAAAGCGCCUCUGGAAGACGGAUCCGACGGUGAGGGACGAAAGCUCGGGUCACGAACCGGAUUAGAUACCCGGGUAGUCCGAGCUGUAAACGAUGUCUGCUAGGUGUGACACAGGCUACGAGCCUGUGUUGUGCCGUAGGGAAGCCGUGAAGCAGACCGCCUGGGAAGUACGUCCGCAGGAUGAAACUUAAAGGAAUUGGCGGGGGAGCACUACAACCGGAGGAGCCUGCGGUUUAAUUGGAU
Molecule: ribosomal RNA, 847 nt
Filed under: Natrialba sp. E21
Lineage: Archaea; Methanobacteriati; Methanobacteriota; Halobacteria; Halobacteriales; Natrialbaceae
Description: bacterial SSU rRNA
Rfam family: Archaeal small subunit ribosomal RNA
Source: RNAcentral